This 368-nucleotide ribosomal RNA is filed under the name uncultured organism. RNAcentral's name for it is "bacterial LSU rRNA". It matches the Rfam family "Bacterial large subunit ribosomal RNA", at positions 2099 to 2465 of the family's 2925-position model. The record is from RNAcentral.
CUUGACUGUAGCCUGGAAUUGGGUUCGGGCUUUUCUUGCGCAGCCUAGGUGGGAGGCUAUGAAGAUUUCCUUCCGGGGAAGUUGGAGCCAACAGUGAGAGACCACUCUGGAAAGGCUAGAAUCCUCAUGGUGAUCCUUGAAUCAGGACACUUGACAGUUUCAGGCGGGCAGUUUCUCUAGGGCGGAGGCCUCAUAAAAGGUAACUGAGGUGCGCAAAGGUUCCCUCAGUCUGGACGGAAAUCAGACAUUGAGUGUAAAGGCAAAAGGGAGCUUGACUGCAAGACCCACAAGUCGAGCAGGAGCGAAAGCUGGCCUUAGUGAUCCGACGGUGCCGUGCGGAAGGGCCGUCGCUCAACGAAUAAAAGUUA